UCCCUGGUGGUUUAGUGGCUAGGAUUUGGCACUUUCACCACUGCAGCUCAGGUUUAAUUCCUGGUCAGGAAA
Cnephaeus nilssonii (northern bat) is the source of this 72-nucleotide non-coding RNA. The record is from the annotation of a GenBank genome assembly. NCBI's taxonomy places the organism in Eukaryota, Metazoa, Chordata, Mammalia, Chiroptera, Vespertilionidae.